AAGAAUACAGCAACAAUGAUCACCGUCAUCUUUAAUGUUCGUAUUUUCGCUCGUGUAAGAAAAGCCAUAGAAGAACGACGAAUUUUAUCUGAAAUUCGUUAACCAUUUACUAUUUCAUGAAAAAUAAUAAAAUGUUCGCGUAGGUGUAUAUUAUUACGACAAGGGGAAACCAAUACAUCAUGAUCAUUCCAAAGAGAGAAUAAGUUAUUUCGUGAGUAUAUGUUGGAAAUGCAUUAAACGUGACACACUGUGAAUACCAUGUGAUAUUUGGAUGAGUUUCCAGGUGAAAUACUAGCAUCUAAGGAAGAAAAAGAUUACGAUCCUUUCAAAUUAAUUCGUCUCUGAUAUUUUAAUGAACGUAGAAAUGAUUGUCUUCUUCUUCUUAAAUACAUAAUGCCAUGAAGUAUGUUUUAAUGUCCCAACAUUUUCUACCAAAAUUUCGAAUCUUUUAAAUCUUUUUAAUUGUGGAUUUUUAAAUUAAUUAUUCACUUUAAUAUAAUAUUUAGUUUUUAGUUAAUCAGAAAGAUUUUAUUGAUAAAACACCGUUCAAAAUUUAUCCAUUGUUCCAACAAUUUUUUCUAUAUCUUCUUUUAUAAAUAAUUCUCAUUUUCUCGGUUAAACUCGGUUUCACUAUCUUAAAUUUUCAACACACGUGGAUCAAAGUAAUACAUGCUUAAACAACGUAUGAAUAAGAAAAUUUAAACAGAAUAUGACACUCCUUCGAAAACUGGUACGUAGUUCAUAUUAUAUAGUUUAUAACAAUGUUUGCGAGAUAAAAGUUAUCUAUUUGUAAAGAAUGGCAAAAAUAAGACGAAAAUUAACUUGUAAAGUUAAAUCACAAUUUAACUAAGAAUUUAAAGCUUAAAUGAAUUUAAUAAAGAGAUGAUAACUGAAAUAUCAAAGACAGGAACAUCCAAGCAAAAACUGCAAAUUCCAUGGUGCAACUAACAUUUAUAAACCUACAGACGAUUGGUCCGCUAAUCUAGGGUCAAGUGUUAAAUCAAAACCGAUAAGAAUACGCUGUUAUUAUGUUACUGUCGAAUGCUGAUGACAAUAACGAAGAUUCCAUUUUAGAAAAAUGGAUUAUGUGAAGAAGAUUAAAAGAUAAAACAAGAGCAAAGUUCAAUGGAGGGAAAAAUUGUCAAAAAACUUUAAUGUACAUAAAUGUACAAGUUUUUAAAAUUGAAAUUAUUUAAUGAAAUCGUUAAUAAAAAUUACAAAAAAUGAAUUUGAAAUAUAAUUAUUAAAAAUAAUGAA
Bombus huntii is the source of this 1257-nucleotide long non-coding RNA. RefSeq lists it as uncharacterized. The record is from RefSeq and is a predicted model, not a curated record. The transcript is spliced from 4 exons. Lineage: Eukaryota; Metazoa; Arthropoda; Insecta; Hymenoptera; Apidae.